GCUUACGGCCAUACCACCCUGGCACGCCCGAUCUCGUCUGAUCUCGGAAGCUAAGCAGGGUCGGGCCUGGUUAGUACUUGGAUGGGUGACCGCCUGGGAAUACCAGGUGCUGUAAGCA
Molecule: ribosomal RNA, 118 nt
Filed under: Gadus morhua (Atlantic cod)
Lineage: Eukaryota; Metazoa; Chordata; Actinopteri; Gadiformes; Gadidae
Source: RNAcentral